This 826-nucleotide unclassified non-coding RNA is filed under the name Hevea brasiliensis (rubber tree). Lineage: Eukaryota; Viridiplantae; Streptophyta; Magnoliopsida; Malpighiales; Euphorbiaceae. The record is from RNAcentral.
UUUCAUUUCCUUUUGCAAGUUAUAAAUUUGGCAGUUGUGUCUUAUUUUUUUCUUCCGUUUUUUUUUUCAAUGUUAUAUAUUUGUAGAGUAGUCUCAAAUAGAGCUAAAUGACGAAAAAUGAUCUAUAUAACCGACCUCAGCUAGUUUAACAUUAAAGCUUAGUUGUUAUUGUUGUAUAUAUUUGUAGUGUUGGUUUUUAUAGUUGGAAAUGAUUUGUCUGUGGGCACUGAUCAUGCCUUGCAAUUGAAGUAGCUUUUUUGGUCUUAGUGAGAUGCUACAGUGUGAAAAAGAUGCGCUACAUAUCUGAAGAUUCUGGGUCUUGAUUCAGGUCUUGCAAGCAUCCUUUGUUAGACUUUGAUAUGUGUCUUGCAUUAAGUAACUAGCUGUUAAUGUUCUACAAAACUAUACAUUAACAAUUUAUGAAGACUAUGAAAAUAAAUAAAUAAAUAAACAAGUUAAAAGGAAAAAUAAAAUUUCCCACGAGGAAAGUUGGGCAUCUUUAGCUUCAAAUGCAUGGUAAUCUGGCUAAAAUGAUUUAAAGCAUGCAUAGUGCAUCUUAACAAAGCCGUAGAAAGUAAUGCUUCCCAAAUAUUUCUAAUCUUUAUCUAUUUUUUGGAUGCUUCCCAUGUAUACUACUACUAAAAGGCCCUUGUUAGUGCAGUGGCUUUUUUAAGAGUAGACUUUAUGAAUUAUGAUAUAUAUUUUGUCUAUAUUGAAUUACUAUUACAAGGCUCAUGCCAGUGGAGUGUUUUCUUUUAAAGAAUCUGUUGUAAGCUAUAUGUGGAUAUACUGAAGUACUUCUCUCUUGUAUUAGUCGCACUUAAUG